UACGGAGGGAGCUAGCGUUGUUCGGAAUUACUGGGCGUAAAGCGCGCGUAGGCGGUUUCUCAAGUCAGAGGUGAAAGCCCGGGGCUCAACCGCGGAACUGCCUUUGAAACUAGGUAACUAGAAUCUUGGAGAGGUCAGUGGAAUUCCGAGUGUAGAGGUGAAAUUCGUAGAUAUUCGGAAGAACACCAGUGGCGAAGGCGACUGUCUGGACAAUUAUUGACGCUGAGGUGCGAAAGCGUGGGGAGCAAACAGG
This 253-nucleotide ribosomal RNA is filed under the name uncultured bacterium. RNAcentral describes it as "partial 16S ribosomal RNA". It matches the Rfam family "Bacterial small subunit ribosomal RNA", at positions 524 to 776 of the family's 1533-position model. The record is from RNAcentral.